ACGAUCAUCACUGAUGUAUCUCAUUAAGCACCAGAAAAAGGUUAUCUAUCUUUUAAAUUUCAACUUUGUUUUGCUGAAUAAACUCUUCAUGUUCUGGCUCUAUCAUAUUCUUACUAUUGACUAUCUCUAUGAUUUGGCAGAGGUCUAGGCAAAAUGGCUUUGCAAGCAAUGGUUGGACUUCUUAAAACGAUAUCUUUUGAAGGUACUACUUGUUUGUUAGAUUGAAAUCAGAUUUAAAUAUGCAUAAUAUUGAACCAAUUAUGUUAUUGGGAAGAUUGGUUUUUGUAUCUGGAAAAAGCAUUUGAUUCAAAUUUAACUGCAAUGAGUUUUUGAGAAAGUGGCCAAUACUCCACUCGGACUAGAAGAUAUAAGAUUUGAAUAAUUUUAAUUCUCUGCAUAGUUUGUGGUUUUGUAGUUCUUAACUAAGUUCAUUCUCCGCAGCAUUCUUGCUAAUUGAAAUCAAGAGAUUAAACGAAGAUGGGCUUCAAAUGGGGAAGUGACAUAACUCUCUCUCUCUCUCUAAUCAGCAAGCUCAGCAAAAAGAGGCAGAGUAAGAUUUUCUAGAAUCUAUUACUCAUACUCAGGCUUACUUCACUUGCUUAAUUCAUUUCAUUAUAAGUGAUUUGUCAAGUGAUAUCUUGUGUGCAGCGAUAUUGAUUCUCUGCAGAUAAUUGAACUUAAUUUGCUUAGAUGAUACAGGGUAUUUUGCAGCUGCGGCCAAAGCUUCUCUCAGAUUAGUACUCUCCCGUAAGAUUUUCAAUGAGUUAUUUUUCUGAUUAGUUUGAGGUUUUGUAUGUUCUUAAUCGAGUCUCAUCUUCUCUUCUCAGAACUAUUGCUAGGUGAAAUCAAGAGGAGGGCUCAAGUGAAGUAGUUUCUCUCAUCUCUCAAAUCUCUAACUUCAUACAUAAUUAGUCCCACGGAAAAUACAAAGUACACUAUAACACCACGAAAAUACAAUACAGACCUCAAACACAAAAACCUCACGUCCAGAGAACAUAACUCAAAUAUGCAAAACAAAAACACGCAAACAUAACACUCAAAAAAAAACAAAACCUUCACGAUCAAAAACAAAAAUUCGUAGAACUGUGGUGUCAAGGUUCAUAUUUCCUCCUUCUAAAGCAAGCAUUAGCGCAAAACAAGCCUACAUCGAAAGGAAUAUACGAGUGUCAGGUAGUACAUUGAUCUUAUUGAUUCAUCUGCAACUACGUAGCUUUAUCUAUUAAAGAUAGAGAGGAAGCUAAGUUAUGAUCUUUAAAUUUUACUUUUUGUGUCUGAAAGUGAAAUUAAUUUUUGCUAUUGAUGGAGACUUAGCCAUUUUAUAGGAUAUCUCUCUCAACUGGCUGGUUCGUCUGCAGGGGUCCUUGAGCUUAACAUGUUGCUCUGUUUUAUUUACUCCCAAACUUUCUUAUUCAUUUUUUUGUUAUUCUCAAGCUUAACUGCUCUAAGAGAUUUGGAAAUCAGUUCUACUCUUCAUGUGUGAUCGGCAGUAUUUUCAUUUGUAGGCACUGGUUUGGCUUUUGGCCAUUGAAUUCUUUUGCUUGGGUUCGGAUUCGAUGGUAAGGUGGCUUAGAUCAGUUGAACAUGUUUUCACAUAUUAAGCGGCAUGUACUUCAUCACACCUUACUCAGUUACUCUUAAAUGCAACAAUCUUUGUUAUUUCUUGAUCAACUGAGAGUUUUCUUUCAUGUAGAUUCAAGAUUGAGCUGCGGUUUUUCGAAUUUAACUGUAAAGACUUUGGGAAAGUGGCCAAACCUUCCCUCGGACUAGAUGUU
Molecule: long non-coding RNA, 1772 nt
Filed under: Capsella grandiflora
Lineage: Eukaryota; Viridiplantae; Streptophyta; Magnoliopsida; Brassicales; Brassicaceae
Description: long non-coding RNA (CGRA_LNC000935)
Source: RNAcentral